CCUUCGAUAGCUCAGUUGGUAGAGCGGUGGACUGUAGUGGUAAAUCAAAGACAUCCAUAGGUCGCUGGUUCAAAUCCGGCUCGAAGGA
Molecule: non-coding RNA, 88 nt
Organism: Papilio machaon (common yellow swallowtail)
Lineage: Eukaryota; Metazoa; Arthropoda; Insecta; Lepidoptera; Papilionidae
Source: Rfam